UCAUAAACCGGAGGAAGGUGGGGAUGACGUCAAGUCAGCAUGGCCUUUAUAUCCUGGGCUACACACACGCUACAAUGGGAAGGGACAAUAGGUUGCGAAGCCGCGAGGUGGAGCCAAUCCAGCAAAACUUCCCUCAGUUCAGAUUGCAGGCUGCAACUCGCCUGCAUGAAGUUGGAGUUGCUAGUAAACGCAGGUCAGCCAUACUGCGUUGAAUACGUUCCCGGGGCUU
This 229-nucleotide ribosomal RNA is filed under the name uncultured Anaerolineaceae bacterium. Its description in RNAcentral is "partial 16S ribosomal RNA". It matches the Rfam family "Bacterial small subunit ribosomal RNA", at positions 1156 to 1382 of the family's 1533-position model. Lineage: Bacteria; Bacillati; Chloroflexota; Anaerolineae; Anaerolineales; Anaerolineaceae. The record is from RNAcentral.